Molecule: ribosomal RNA, 159 nt
Filed under: Rhizopogon sp. SPtC23-1
Lineage: Eukaryota; Fungi; Basidiomycota; Agaricomycetes; Boletales; Rhizopogonaceae
Description: 5.8S ribosomal RNA
Rfam family: 5.8S ribosomal RNA
About the family: 5.8S ribosomal RNA (5.8S rRNA) is a component of the large subunit of the eukaryotic ribosome.
Source: RNAcentral
UUACAACUUUCAGCAAUGGAUCUCUUGGCUCUCGCAUCGAUGAAGAACGCAGCGAAACGCGAUAUGUAAUGUGAAUUGCAGAUCUACAGUGAAUCAUCGAAUCUUUGAACGCACCUUGCGCUCCUUGGUAUUCCGAGGAGCAUGCCUGUUUGAGUGUCA